Molecule: long non-coding RNA, 3028 nt
Organism: Zootermopsis nevadensis
Lineage: Eukaryota; Metazoa; Arthropoda; Insecta; Blattodea; Termopsidae
Source: RefSeq, a predicted model, not a curated record
UUUACAUUCAGACAGCAGUCAUUUGGUGGUACAAAUCUUGACUUUGGUCAGGCAGUACAGUGCAUCGCAACUAGAAGACCUCAGUGGUAGGAGCAAAGUUAAAAUUAAGAUCUUCAGCAGCAUGGACGAUAGUCAAAGCAUAUUCACAGCAGUAUGUGUUGGAUUGUGUAUCGCAUUUGUUUUGUAUCUAUUAAAAAUAUAUAUACAUUUGCGGGAAAGGAUCGUGUUUAUCCUGACUGCAAUAAUUUUAAACUACCUCGCUAUAGUUGUUGCCGUUUGGGCAAGAGAACAAAUGACGUCUGCAGUGAAUCGCUUCAAGGAUGAAAUUUUAUAAUUUGAGAUAUAUUCUUAUACGUCUACUUUUUAAGGAACAGUAAAUAUCAAAGUAACUUUGAAUGUUUUAAAACGAAGAAAUUCCUAAAUUUAUAUUGCAGAUUUGUUUAGCAAUUUUGAACACGCUAAAGAGUUUUCAAUACAUGUAUACCUCACACAGUUUAGAUAUCCUGGAUAAUUUUAUUUUAUUUAAUAAGUUAAAGAAGACGUUUUAGUAUUGACUAUAUAUCUAACUUAUACCCAUAUAAGUACAUGCAGUCUACGACCUAUUAAUCAUUUAAAAUGGAAGUGAUGGCAGUUUAAAUGCGUAAUGCUGCACAGAGGUAAAUAUUUAAGACUAAAAUCUCAUAAUAUUGACGACAUACAUACCGUGUGGAAGAUGAUGUAAAGAACGUCAGAUAGAAGUAACUUGUCUGUGAGUUAAUUAUAAAUGUACGAGAGAAGAUCACAAAAUUCGUGGGCCACCUUUAAUGAGCAGUGUUUGGCAUAUUGAAACUGGCAGUAUCAAUCCGUAAUGAAACCACAAACCAAAUCAAAUUCGUCUGCAAAGAAAUAAUUGUCGAUUGGUGGGGAUGAAAGUAAAACCUACCCCCCCCCCUCCUGCCGCCUCAGAAACUACUUUUACAUUCAGACGUAACUCUUUGACUUCGACCUGGAAGCGUAGUCUACCGCAAUCGGGAAGAGCGAGUGAUAAGCGGACAGGAAAACCAAGAACUCCAGCAGCAUGGACGAGAAUACAAACACUCUUACAGCAAUAUUUUCAGGGUUGUGUUUCGCAUUUUCGUUGUAUCUGUUAACAAGAUGUAUGCACUUUCCGGAAAGGAUUUCUUUUCUUUGGCUUAGAGUAUUUGUGAACAUUGCCACUCUUAUUGCUAUCGUCUUCAUGAUUGAAAAAGUAGGCUCGCAAGAAGAUUAAAACGUAUCUAACAAAUCUUAAUAAAGAUUUGUAAUUUGCGAUAAUAUUCUUAUACGCCCACAUUUUAAGGAACAAUACAAAUCAAAGUAACUUCUUAUGUUUUAAAAUACAGCAAUUCAUGAAUCUGGAUUACAAAUUUUAUUAGUGGUUUUAGAGACAUUAAAUACUUUUUAAUACAAUUAUACCUCACGGUUUAGUGAUGUUGAAAAUUAUCAUCAAUGAGUAUUUAAAGAAGACAUUUUAAUACUGUCUAUAUAAGUUUUAUUUAAACACGCGCAAACGUACGAAGUCUUUGGCCAAUUAACCAUUUAAGAAUAGAAGUGAUACAGUUUUUAAUGUGUAAUGCUGCAUAGAGGAAAAGACUGAAGGCUAAAAUGCCACAAUGAUUACGACAUUGUCUAUACUGUGUGAAGAUAAAUGAAGAUAACUACAGAUGGAAAAAGAAAUAUGUGUGGGUGUACCAAGUGAAAACCAUGAAAACUGUGGGCAUUCACUUCUAAGCAGAUUUCAAUAUCACGAUGUUUACUACAAUUGGAAACAACUUUGUGUACCUGUAAUUUUGUCGGCGUAACAGGUGAAAAUUGUGAAAGUCGUGGACCUAUAUUUCUGAACAGGUCCCGACUUACUUGUGAAGACAGGAUCAUAGUAUACUCAAGAUUGUUUCAACCUGACCAUCAAAUCUAUACAGACAAUUUUUGGAACCACGACAAUAAUAACCAUACUAAAACAGUAAAACACUAAUUAUGCUGUUAGUAUCAGUGGAUUUCUGUACUUUAUCCACUAUUUUAUAUUCCGAAGAGAACAGAUCAUUUUCGUAACUUCGUUUCCGACCUCAGAUGAAAGAGUACCAGCACUUACUCGGUUGGGUUUCUUAGACAGAGCAAAUGUCAGUCAAUGAACUUUGUAUUGUGUGUGGAGUACUAAGAAGACGGGAAAUGUAGAGUCCUAUGCAUGUUCUUCGACGACAGGCCUACGGAGAUGCUUGAAUAAAACACGAGAGUGAAGCCGAAAUUCCCUAAAGAAUAUGAAGCAUAAUUAAAUGACAAAGCAUGCAACUGUUUACAUAACUGUCCCCUGUCUUCAACAACGUGCAUUAUAAACUUUUAAUUAUAUUCUUAAUAUUCGUCUGUAUAUCACACAUAUCUUAUAUGAAAUUUAAUUAAUGUUCGCAUCUUAAUUUUCUUCAAGACUUUAACAUUCUGUAAUAACUACCUAACGUUAAGGCGACAUUUAUGCUUAAAUUGUGGUUGUCUUUGCCUCAAGCGUUUGGGCUUUAUUUUAAUAAAUUUGUUUUAAUGAAAAAUAUAAAUUUUUAUAACAUGAGGUGAGUUCUGGGGCUAUAUUAGCUUUGUGUUAAAACUUUUCUGGUUCAGCAUAUUUUGUAAUGCGGAAAUAAUCCAUCCUCUGGACUAAUGGCUACAUUCUUAACAUGUUCAUCGAAAUGCGAACUUUUUAUUAUUACUUUAAUUAAACAUUUCUCACAGUAAAACCCAAAGUUUUCAGUUUAAAAGUCGGAUCUAUUAGGAGAGCAAAUCUGAGAGAGAAAGACAAAGUGAGAGAGAAGAAACGAAUAAAUUUGAAACAACUAAUAAUUAAACAACCUAUGAGCCCUAAAUCGUGUUGUUUUCGGUAAAGUACAAUCUUGUAUAGCCUGCUAUAGAACUACAACCUAACAUGUACAGUGCCACCUAAAGUUUAAAGGCAAAUUUUAUAUUUAUAUUUAAAUUGUAUAUAUGCUUUGUUCUAAAGAAUAAAUUUAACAAAGGAUGGUAAAAACAA